CCAAAGGCUCUUUUAAGAGCCACUUACAUACUUCUUAAAAUGGCC
Molecule: non-coding RNA, 45 nt
Organism: Mus musculus (house mouse)
Lineage: Eukaryota; Metazoa; Chordata; Mammalia; Rodentia; Muridae
Source: Rfam